GUUCAAAAGUGAAAGACGGUCUUGCUGUCACUUAUAGAUGGAUCCGCGCUGCAUUAGCUAGUUGGUAAGGUAACGGCUUACCAAGGCAACGAUGCAUAGCCGACCUGAGAGGGUGAUCGGCCACACUGGAACUGAGACACGGUCCAGACUCCUACGGGAGGCAGCAGUAGGGAAUCUUCCGCAAUGGGCGAAAGCCUGACGGAGCAACGCCGCGUGAGUGAUGAAGGUCUUCGGAUCGUAAAACUCUGUUAUUAGGGAAGAACAUAUGUGUAAGUAACUGUGCACAUCUUGACGGUACCUAAUCAGAAAGCCACGGCUAACUACGUGCCAGCAGCCGCGGUAAUACGUAGGUGGCAAGCGUUAUCCGGAAUUAUUGGGCGUAAAGCGCGCGUAGGCGGUUUUUUAAGUCUGAUGU
RNAcentral lists this ribosomal RNA (415 nucleotides) under Staphylococcus aureus. Its description in RNAcentral is "bacterial SSU rRNA". It matches the Rfam family "Bacterial small subunit ribosomal RNA", at positions 192 to 595 of the family's 1533-position model. Lineage: Bacteria; Bacillati; Bacillota; Bacilli; Caryophanales; Staphylococcaceae. The record is from RNAcentral.